UUAAUGAUUUCCUUCUCUGUACUCACAGUCAUUAGGGAAUAAUCAGUUUAUGAGGGGCAAAGCAAGGCCUUCAAGGUGUUGGCAGUGAAAACCCUCAGAAAACCACAAGGUUUUGCAAGAGUUGCUCUACAGUCACCAGAAUUGGCAGCACUACCGUCGUGGGGACAGGAGCUGGCAUCGCCACCUUCCCAUCCACAGCCCCAGCCAGGCAGUCUGCAGCCCCAAAGGAGAAGGCUGUUCUUUCCGUGCUGCCUUCCCACGCCGCAGAUGCGGGAGCUCCAACCCUGCUCGCUGUUUGAGCCGUGUGCGACAGGGACGCUGCUGGGGAGGGAGCCAGAGGCAGGGCAGAGCCCGGAUUGGCAGCACCGAGGCUGAAUGCAGAUGCCCUUCUUUUCCUGCUUCCCUGCUACAUCACCAGAGACAGCACGAACUGCUUAAAAGGAAGCGAGCACCAUUUUUAUGUGGUGUAAAUAUCCAUCUACACAUUUUCCACAAAGGAUGGAGAUGCUGGGAUGGCUACAUGAUUUAUGCACAGGAUGGAAGUAGCACAAACACGAUGAUUUACAACAGGUUUUAAUGACCAUCUGAAGGGGAAAGAUACCAAAUAUGGUCAACAGCAACUGUUAAUUGAAACAAGUCAUAUUUCAUCUGUGUAAACAAAGUGAUGAUCACGUCUGCCACAAGAUUUCAAGAGAUUUAUCUUCCAGGCUCCCUAAUAUGGUUACAUCUGUCCCCUCCUUAAAUCCUAUGUUCUUGCCAUCUGCUCCUAUGCACUUCUUUUCACCCUAAAGCAGUGACUAAACAACUGUCUGAAAAAGAAAAAAAAAAGUAUUUUUCAAUUUUUGAGCAAAAUGUUCAACAACUGGAAAAAAACUGGAAAACCAAAUCUACAACCCCUUUGGCUCUCAAUUGUUUUCUAUGGUUGGGAAUGUUACUAGUGAGAUGCUCAGGUGAAGUUUCCAGAAUCUUUACAUCUCACUAUACUACAGGAAACACUGCACCCAUAGAUUAAGAUAGUUUUGUUAUGGAGUGUACUAAAUUUGGGGCAGAUUUAACUACCAUUCAGUUAAUCAGUCAAAUUGUCACUGAGAGGUAAUGUUAUAUGGGGAGGAAGCAUUUUGCUUUAAAAAGAAAGAAACUUCCUAGAAUUCUUUAUUUGCGCUGUGGGAAGCCUUGGUAGUUGUGUUCCUUUGAGAUGUGCUUUGUACUUACCUCUCCUUGUCCAAACAGGGAGCAGCAGGAAGGACAGAGCUGCAGCUCACUCUCCUUUCUGUGUGAGGAGCACCAAAGAAGAGCAAUUCCACAAAUCUGUGCUCCUGCCUUCUGGGCAAGACUGCAGCCUGCUGGUCCUCAUUCAUUAGGGCAGCACUCUGCUCUGCAUCCAUCACCCUCUGUGGCCACAGAAUGGGCAUAAUCCAUCUCUUGCUGUUUAUUUGAAAUCCUUCAAAGGUAUUAGACAUGCACUGAGCAUCUUUUUACCACAGAGACUUCAUGCAAUGACAAUACUGUCAUGCUAAAAAAAUGCCUCAUCCCUUCUCUAAGAGUUUUGUUAAACUUCCUUUUAUUUGCUUGGGCUG
Zonotrichia albicollis (white-throated sparrow) is the source of this 1577-nucleotide long non-coding RNA. The record is from Ensembl. NCBI's taxonomy places the organism in Eukaryota, Metazoa, Chordata, Aves, Passeriformes, Passerellidae.